UACGGGGGGAGCAAGCGUUGUUCGGAUUUACUGGGCGUAAAGAGCGCGCAGGCGGUCGAUCAAGUCGAGUGUGAAAGCCCCCGGCUCAACUGGGGAGGGUCAUUCGAUACUGAUCGACUCGAAGGCAGGAGAGGGUAGUGGAAUUCCCGGUGUAGUGGUGAAAUGCGUAGAUAUCGGGAGGAACACCAGUGGCGAAGGCGACUACCUGGCCUGUUCUUGACGCUGAGGCGCGAAAGCUAGGGGAGCAAACGGG
RNAcentral lists this ribosomal RNA (253 nucleotides) under uncultured bacterium. RNAcentral's name for it is "partial 16S ribosomal RNA". It matches the Rfam family "Bacterial small subunit ribosomal RNA", at positions 524 to 776 of the family's 1533-position model. The record is from RNAcentral.